RNAcentral lists this transfer RNA (69 nucleotides) under Ictidomys tridecemlineatus (thirteen-lined ground squirrel). Its description in RNAcentral is "Spermophilus tridecemlineatus (thirteen-lined ground squirrel) tRNA". It matches the Rfam family "tRNA". Rfam says of the family: Transfer RNA (tRNA) molecules are approximately 80 nucleotides in length. Lineage: Eukaryota; Metazoa; Chordata; Mammalia; Rodentia; Sciuridae. The record is from Rfam by way of RNAcentral.
GGAGUUGUGGCUUAGUGGUAGAGCGCUUGCUUAGCAUGUGUGAGGCCCUGGGUCCGAUUCUCAGCACCA